This is a small nuclear RNA of Cebus imitator (Panamanian white-faced capuchin), 107 nucleotides long. Lineage: Eukaryota; Metazoa; Chordata; Mammalia; Primates; Cebidae. The record is from Ensembl.
GUGGCCAUUUUGCCAACACAUAUACUAAAAUUAGAACAAUAUAGAGAAGAUUAGUAUGGUCCCUGUGCAAGGAUGACAUGCAAACUUGUGAAGCAUUACACAUUUUU